UACGUAGGGUGCGAGCGUUGUCCGGAAUUAUUGGGCGUAAAGGGCUCGUAGGCGGUUUGUCGCGUCGGGAGUGAAAACCAGGUGCUUAACACCUGGCUUGCUUUCGAUACGGGCAGACUAGAGGUAUUCAGGGGAGAACGGAAUUCCUGGCGUAGCGGUGAAAUGCGCAGAUAUCAGGAGGAACACCGGUGGCGAAGGCGGUUCUCUGGGAAUGACCUGACGCUGAGGAGCGAAAGUGUGGGGAGCGAACAGG
Molecule: ribosomal RNA, 253 nt
Filed under: uncultured bacterium
Lineage: Bacteria
Description: partial 16S ribosomal RNA
Rfam family: Bacterial small subunit ribosomal RNA
Source: RNAcentral